UACGGAGGGUGCGAGCGUUUGUCCGGAAUCACUGGGCGUAAAGGGCGCGUAGGCGCCCUGGCAGUCGGUGGUGAAAGCCCGUGGCUCAACUGCGGGUCGCCACCGAUACUCCAGGGCUCGAGUUUUGGUAGAGGCAGAUGGAAUUCCGGGUGUAGCGGUGGAAUGCGUAGAGAUCCGGAAGAACACCGGUGGCGAAGGCGGUCUGGCU
This 208-nucleotide ribosomal RNA is filed under the name uncultured bacterium. RNAcentral's name for it is "partial 16S ribosomal RNA". It matches the Rfam family "Bacterial small subunit ribosomal RNA", at positions 524 to 730 of the family's 1533-position model. The record is from RNAcentral.